AUUAAUUUAGGAGGGUAAAUCCGCUGAAUUUUAAAAAUUGCUAAAAUAUAACUAAGCGGAAGAAAAGAAAAUAACUAUGAUUCCUUUAGUAACAGCGCGUGAAAAAGGAUAAGCUCAAUUUAGAGAAUCCUACGAUUUUUUUUUAAAAGAAUUUUAGGAAUUGUUUCUUUUUUUAUAUAAUAUAUAUACUCUAUAUGAUAACUGUUCUUUGGAUUAUAUAUUACGUAAUGUGUAUAUACAUCUAUUUUACGGGUACACAAGAGCAAAGAUAUUAAAAAACAAAUAGGAAAUAUAAUGGAACAUUAUCCCAGAGAGGGUGAAAGGCCCGUACUUGUUUUAAUAUCUACCUUGUGCUUAAAUUAGAGUUAAAAAUAAAGAAUGAGUUGUGUUUGAUGAAUAUGGGACACUAAUACGUGUGAUAAAAAUUCACAUAAAGCUAAAUAUGUGUAGGAGACCGAUAGCAAACAAGUACCGUAAGGGAAAGAUGAAAUAGUACUCAGGAAUGAGCCAUUAAAUAGUACCUGAAAUCGUUAAGGUGGAAAGGAUUAAGAGCGUGAAGACGUAAGGGUUUUAUUAAAAAGUAUGUACAUGUGUAUAUAUAUAUAUAUAUGUAUGUAUAAGAGAGAAUUUCAUUUUCUCUUUGAUAAUUUCCUUAUUAUAAUAAACAAAAGUGAAUGAGAGAAAUUUUGAAGAUUGAAGUAAUUUUUUAAAAAAAUUAAAGAAUUAAUUAUAUAUAUAGUAAUAAAUUUUUAUUUAUUUUUAUUUAUUUUUAUGUAAUUGAUUAUUUUUUUUUUUUAAAGAAUGUGAAUGAAUGAAUGGAAAACACUUCUUUCUGAUUAAAAACAUUUCUAUUUACUUAGGAAUAUAAAAUAUAUAUGUAAAAAUAGAAAGUAUUUAUAUUUUUUGUUUUUAUGUAUGUAUAAGUUGUUUAUAAAAAAUACUCUCUUAAACCGACCGUCUUGAAACACGGACCAAGGAGUCUAUCAAAUAUGCAAGUGUAUAUGUUUAGAGGAAACAUGUAAAUUUUUUGUAUACACGCAUAGAUGUUCCAAAUGUGUGAUAUAUGUAAGAAGUGUGCACACAAAAGAUAUGUAUGUAUAUAUGUAUGUGUGGGUGGGCUUUUUAUAUAUUUUCAUUUUCAUUUGAUUUGUAGAUUUUGUUAUGAGAUGAAAAAAAUAGAAAUGGAAAAAGAAAUGAAAAUAAUUAAAAUUAAUUUUUUUUUUGUUUUUGUUUUUUUUUUUUUCUUUUACUUUUUGUAAUUUUUUUAUUUUUUUUAUUUUUCAUUUCAUGCAUACAAAUUACUUAUUAUAUUAAAAACAGAAGAAUUAAAAUCAAGAAUUAUAACAUGUUAAGAAAUAUUUAUUAUUUUUUUUUGUGUUUCUUUUCUAGAUUUUUUUUUUUCUUAUGUUUUUAAUUGUGAGUAAAGAGUAUAUUUGAUAGGACCCGAAGGGCUUUGAACUAUACAUGUAAUAAAAUUAUUUGAGAACAUGAGAGUCUUUUUAUGGUUAAAAAAGUGUUAUUCUUAAAUAAAUAUGUAUCAUUAAUUUUUAGUGAAUUUGUAUAUAUUUAAGGAUCCUUUUUUUUUUCCAUUAUUACAUUGUAGGAAAUAUAAAAAAUGAAAAGUCUUAUUAGCUGGUUAUUUUCGAAAGAUCUCUCGAGAUCACUGGAGUUGAUUUUGAUAUAUUUUUAUCGUAUCAAAUAAAUUAAAAUAUAUAUAUAUAUAUAUAUAUAUAUACACAAUGUUGAUAUAAAAGAUCUAAUUGUGAAUUUGUAAAUUUAUAUUUUAAUUUGUUUUGAUAUUUUGGUAAAAAGUGUAAAUAAGAUAAAUAUAUAUAAGUAGUAUAUUAUAUUAUUUUAUUUAUAUAAAAAUAAGAUAACUCCAAGUGUACCAUUUUUUCGUAAAAAAAAAUUGGUAAUGAGGGAUGCUCCUAAUGCUUGGAUAAGGUGCCUAAGUAUUCGCUCAUGAGAUUCUGUUUAAAAAAAAAAGGUGUUGGUUCAUGAUAACAGUAGGACGAUAUUCAUGGAAGUUGAAAUUCGCUAAGGAGUGUGUAAAAACUCACCUUCCGAGUGAACUUGCCCUUAUAAUGGAUGGCGCUAAAGUGAAUUACCGAAACCAAGCCAUAAAAAGAUAAAGAAAAAAAAAAAAAAAUAUUAAAAAAAAAUUAAAAAAUUAUAAUCAACUGGGGAAAAGGUGUAAAGAAGAAAUUUUUUUUUUUUUUUUAUUCCUUUUUUCUUUUUGUUUGUUUUUUUUUUUUAUUAUUUAUUUUAUUUUUUUUUUAUUUUUCUUGGUUUUGAACUUUUUAUGUGUAGAAAAUCGUGGGGUUUGUGUUGAAGCGAAAUACGUGAGUUUUCGUGGAACAUCUCCCUAGUGCAGAUCUUGGUGGAAGUAGCAAAUAUUACAAAUGAAAAACUUUGAAUGACUAAAGUGGAGAUGGGUUUCUUGUAUAUAGAUUUAUUAAUUUAAAUUUACAAGAGUUAGUCGCUUGCUUAUGAGUUUGCUACUUUUGUUUUUUUUCUGAAUGGAUGUCUCUUUAUUUUUUAUGAAGAGAUAAUGAAAAGAAAAGUUUAGCAUACGUGACAAGGGGGUAUGUUUUAUGAUCGAACUUGUAUCAACCGCUUCUCUGAUUAUACUAAGAGAUGGCAUACAUUUAAUCUCUAUCACCUAUAAAAUUUCCUCUACUCAAAUAAAAGUAAACAGGUUAAUAUUCCUGUACGUUCAUAAAGAUUUAAGUAAGAUAGGUAAUGGUAACAUUUGAAUGCUGAACUCCUAUAUAUAGUAGCUACGUUCGGAGUGCGUAUUUUGAAUUAUAUUCCUUUAUAAUUAUUGCACAUGAAAAUAUAUAUAGCUAGGCCUAUGUCUUAAAUGCAAGAGUCGUAUACUUAGGGUGGCUUAGCACAGCGGUCGGCAUAUGAAAAUUGGCAAAUAUAGAAGGAUGAAUUUAUUCAUAUAUAAUUUAUUAGAUCAUAGAUUUUAUUUUUAUAAUAAUUUCUUGUUCUGUAUUUUAUAUAUGAAAUUCAUUCUUUUUGUUUGUAUCAAUAGUAAUUCUAUUAAAAUUUAGGGAAUUACCCGAAACUGUAUUACUAUCACUGAAUGUAGGAGGGAUAUAUCUUAUAAGUUUUAGAGAUGUAAUUUAUAUUAUAUUCUUUAAUUCCUUAUUUGACCGUUCUUAAUUUUUAUAACAGCGUACCUAUAAUAGCCGCUUGAGGUCUCCUAGGUUAACAGCCUCUAGUUUAUAUAGAUUAUAUAAUAGCAAAGGAAGUCGUUCCAUAAGCACUCAGAUAAUAUAUAUAUAUAUAUAUGUAUAUAUAUAUGUAUAUAUAUAUAUAUAAUAUUUGGAUGUCCGGAAUUUAGGGAAAUAAAUUUAUAUUGAGUUAUAUUAUAGGAGUAAAAGUAAAUUAUAGAGAAGAGGCGAAAAAUUAAAGAAAGAACGAGAUUAGAGUGAUUCUUCGGCAUAUUAUGUAAAAUUAUAUAGGUGUGCACAUGUAUAAACUAGACGAAAGAUAGUUUCUGCGUGUAUGUAUAUAUAUGUAUACGUAUGAGACGUUUAGUAGGAGUGUAAAAGUUAUUAUGUGUGCAUGCCUGUAUUCUGCUUUAUACGUAUGUUUAAAGGCUUUCUCUUUUUUUUAAGUAUUUCUUUAAUUUUUAUUUCCCCCCUCUUUUCAAUUUUCAAUAUGUAUAUAUGUAUAUAUAUAUGUAUAUAUGUAUUGUUAAUAUAUACAUACUGUUUACUUAAUAUAAACUCAGUAUAGUAUACGGAUAAUGUUUGAGGGUUAAAUGGUUUCUAGUCACUGUGAAUGAAAUAAAAGAUCAUAUAAUAUUUAUAUUAUAUUGGCCUUAUUCUAUGUAUGCAAAUAUAUAUAUUAUAUAUAUGUAUGUUCUAUACGUAUAUAUAUGUAUAUAUAUCCUUGUUAUAUUAUAGCACGGUGAUACGUCCUUCCGCGUUCCUAGUAAGUCGGUGUUGAAGUGCUUCGAUUGCGUACAAUGGGAGGGGUGGUUGCAAUGAAGGUUUAUUAUUAUAUAAUUUUUAUAUUUUAAUAUUCCUAGUUGCAACAGCAAUUUAACCUUUGUCACGUAACACUGAGAAGGUUGAUUUUUUUUUUUUAUACAUAUCCUAUAGAAAUUGUAUAACCCUCACGACAUAUACCUUACUAUAAUUUAUCUAGCGAAACCACAACCAAGGGAACAGGCUUGGUAAAAUCAGUAGAGAAAGUAAGCUAUUAUUUCUGUUGAAGAAUUUAUUAUUUACCCAAAUUUGUAACUUUUGUAAAACUACUUAAGAGGUGUAGAUAUA
Molecule: ribosomal RNA, 4292 nt
Filed under: Plasmodium billcollinsi
Lineage: Eukaryota; Apicomplexa; Aconoidasida; Haemosporida; Plasmodiidae
Description: Plasmodium sp. DRC-Itaito 28S ribosomal RNA
Rfam family: Eukaryotic large subunit ribosomal RNA (bases 1934-2119)
Source: RNAcentral